Molecule: unclassified non-coding RNA, 1568 nt
Organism: Pogonomyrmex barbatus (red harvester ant)
Lineage: Eukaryota; Metazoa; Arthropoda; Insecta; Hymenoptera; Formicidae
Source: RefSeq, a predicted model, not a curated record
GGAUCGGAUAAGACAAAGAGCGACGAGAGGGAGAGGGAAAUAGAAGUAAAAAUAGAAGUAAAACGCGAAGGAAAUUCGCUACACGUGUUCGUCGUUCGUUUUCCAUGGAACGCAAAGGAAAGAAGUAACAAAAGAGCGGAGGUUCAGCGAAGAGGAGAUACCGUGAGCCAAUCGAGCCAAUCGAGAUAAAAUGGUGGCACGGUAAACGAAAGAAAGUGAUUAGACGCAUCGUGUGUGACAGUAUAUCGCUGUGUGCCUCGCACAAGUUCCGAUCACAUGGAUCACGUGGUAGUCAGUCCGUGCCCCUUCUCCUCCUGACCGCAAAGGUUCUAUCGGUGGGCGGUGGGGAUGUCAACUGUGACGGGGAGGGAUGUAGAAAAGGAGAAGUGGUAGAUACGAUUUCUAGGAUAGAAGAAGAGAAGAGGAUGAGAAAAACAGAGAAAAGUCAAAGAGGAUAUUACUUCGACAUUGAUGACAAUCAGGGCAAUGGACGCGUGAUGCCGCGUCUGACCGCAAGCUCGUUACGCCUGUCGGAAGUAUAAAUCAACCGCAAAGUUAUUCCACCAUGCUGUCGAGAACUCCCCGUAGGGCGCCUCUCGCUGGAAACUGCUACCACUUUCUUGUCCUCCACCUUGUUGAUAUCGUUCGCGCAGAAAAUGAUCAUCUUUCGCUUAAGAUAAAGUGAUAGGAUGACAAGGAUAUUUAUACCGACGUGCUCAUUCAUUUCGUCAGUCGGGAAUGUGACGGACCGCACCCGCGGUGAACUCUCAGCGUCAAUGAACCGUCACGAAUUUGCUGUAGCUGCCAAUCUACCGUGACUUAACGAGAUCGGCGCACCCGCGAGUCAACAUCUCUCCACCGGGAGAUCAUCGUGUUUUCGUUAGGAACGAGAUCGCCCUUUGUCGAUGUCUCGUAAGCCUAUCCAGCCUCCUCUUCCAGCUUCCAUCUCCCGCGCGACUCCAUCUUCCAGACGUCAUCGUUGCCGACAUCCCGUUGUAGUCCGCGGAUGGACAGCGAUCGAAAUUAGGGUGAGUACCAUCGCGGUAGCGUGGACAUAUGGGAGCACCAUGUGGUCAUCACCGUAUCGUUCGUUCGGCCGACGAAAGCCAAAGCCAACCCCCGUGCGCGAACGGGGAGGAGCCGAUGGGGGAAUGUAGGAAACCGCAGAUUUGGCCGGACGGCUAAACGCUCGCCGCAAUUUGUAGCAAUUUGUUAAGUAGCCAGCCAGAACAUUACCUAUAUUACGCUUACUCCCCCUUGGACCGGACACCAAGAUAUACGGCGUACGUGCAGAUUUAUCGUUUCUGCGGAGAGAACGGAGGUUGCGAGAUUCUGGGGCGCCGCACCGCGCUUGUUUUAAGUUAUUGUGUCGCUUAACCUUUUCUGCAAUGCGAAAUAGUUGCAGCCGAUCAAUCCGUUUUAUUUACUCUCAAUUAAGCUCAAUUAAUUCGUUAUUGUAAAUAGCGCAUAUAAUUUUGCUGAAAGAUUUAAAAAUUUGAGUCAAACAUCUAAUAAGAUGAGUUAAACAUCUAGAUCUAAAAAUUAUUUUAAGCCAACAAAAUAAUUAU